Molecule: ribosomal RNA, 301 nt
Filed under: uncultured bacterium
Lineage: Bacteria
Description: partial 16S ribosomal RNA
Rfam family: Bacterial small subunit ribosomal RNA
Source: RNAcentral
CAGCAGCCACGGGAAUACGGAGGGUGCAAGCGUUAAUCGGAAUUACUGGGCGUAAAGCGCACGCAGGCGGUCUGACAAGUCAGAUGUGAAAUCCCCGGGCUUAACCUGGGAACUGCAUUUGAAACUGUCAGGCUGGAGUCUUGUAGAGGGGGGUGGAAUUCCAGGUGUAGCGGUGAAAUGCGUAGAGAUCUGGAGGAAUACCGGUGGCGAAGGCGGCCCCCUGGACAAAGACUGACGCUCAGGUGCGAAAGCGUGGGGAGCAAACAGGGUUAGAUACCCGCGUAGUCCCUGUCUCUUAUAC